Long non-coding RNA from Poeciliopsis prolifica (blackstripe livebearer), 454 nucleotides. RefSeq lists it as uncharacterized. Lineage: Eukaryota; Metazoa; Chordata; Actinopteri; Cyprinodontiformes; Poeciliidae. The record is from RefSeq and is a predicted model, not a curated record. The transcript is spliced from 3 exons.
UGGAACGUACGCAUGCGCAGAAAGAACCACAGCAAAAAGGAAAGCGCGAGAGGUUCAACCGGCGUCGUCUUCGUUGGAAGUCAAACAUUCUGACUAUUCUUUACUUUUUUUUACUAACUUCUGAGAAAUACCGAGAUUGAACCGUAUGAAAGGUUCGCAAAGUGGAACUUGAGGAUUUCGGGGAGGCAAACAUGAGGAGCCAAGCAACAGCUAAGCUAAGUGGCUGUGGGUUGAGCGCCCCCACAGGCGAAGAGGGGAACAGCAGAACCACAGCAUUUUACAAAUGUUGCAGUUUUGGUCCCCAAUCAAACUGAAACUACCAGACUACCUGGCGGAAAAACUCUAAGACUCUUAGAAGAAACUGCAAUUUAAAGUGCCAAUUAGAAACAACCAAUCAGAGACAGGAGGCGCGUCCUAGCGCUGUCAAUCAAGGUCUGUGUGGCGCUACUCAUCC